RNAcentral lists this ribosomal RNA (253 nucleotides) under uncultured bacterium. RNAcentral's name for it is "partial 16S ribosomal RNA". It matches the Rfam family "Bacterial small subunit ribosomal RNA", at positions 524 to 776 of the family's 1533-position model. The record is from RNAcentral.
UACAGAGGUCUCAAGCGUUGUUCGGAUUCAUUGGGCGUAAAGGGUGCGUAGGCGGCGUCGUAAGUCGGGUGUGAAAUUUCGGAGCUUAACUCCGAAACUGCAUUCGAUACUGCGGUGCUUGAGGACUGGAGAGGAGACUGGAAUUCAUGGUGUAGCAGUGAAAUGCGUAGAGAUCAUGAGGAAGACCAGUGGCGAAGGCGGGUCUCUGGACAGUUCCUGACACUGAGGCACGAAGGCCAGGGGAGCAAACGGG